UCAGGUGGGGACUAGCUAACAGUCGUGGGUCGUGGGUCGUGGGUAGAUUGUCGUGGGUCGUGGGUAAAAAGUCGUGGGUCGUGGGUAAAAAGUCGUGGGUCGUGGGUAAAAAGUCGUAAGUCGUGGGUAAAAAGGCGUGGGUCGUGGGUAAAAAGGCGUGGGUCGUGGGUAAAAAGGCGUGGGUCGUGGGUAAAAAGGCGUGGGUCGUGGGUAAAAAGGCGUGGGUCGUGGGUAAAAAGGCGUGGGUCGUGGGUAAAAAGGCGUGGGUCGUGGGUAAAAAGGCGUGGGUCGUGGGUAAAAAGGCGUGGGUCGUGGGUAAAAAAUCGUGGGUCGCGAAUAAAA
Paramuricea clavata is the source of this 342-nucleotide non-coding RNA. The record is from the annotation of a GenBank genome assembly. NCBI's taxonomy places the organism in Eukaryota, Metazoa, Cnidaria, Anthozoa, Malacalcyonacea, Plexauridae.